GCGCGCGCGCUCUCGCCAGUCGGUGGUCGUCCCUCGCACGCGCGCACUCUCUCGACGGUCGUCCGCGGUGCGCCGCCUCUUCACCACGCCAAUCCCUUUGCCGCCGACUCGCGAGGCGAACAAUAUUAUUGUUGUCGCAGCCGCCACUGCUCCCCGUCGGUCGUCACGGCCAUUGUAUACACACAUUGCACAGACGACGGCCGCCGUUCCGCGUACGCACUACGCGAUUGCAAUUAUUUGCAGCACGGAACCAGGAACGCUCUCUCCCUCCCGACCGCCCACCCGUCCAGGACCGACCGACCGACAGCCAGCCAGCCAGCCACACGACCGUCCCCCGCACGACGCGUUUGUCCGUCGUGUCCUUAAUGAACGCAGUCACCACACACGGGCGUCAUAGAUGUUAAUUGUCCUGUUAAAACCGAUAGGGAUACUAUGUUCCUACAUAUUUAAAGCCAUGGGACAAAGCCUGGUCAUUGGUUCUGAGCGGUCCGCCAGACGGAAGAAACAAAAAACUGAUGGCAACCUACCCGUUGACACGCCGACCGUGUCACUCACGGCGGCUUCCAUGACAGACCUAGACAACAUUACUCAGCACCAGAUAGUGUACAAAAAAAUGGAACAACUGAUGGACCGUAUGCAGGAUGAGAACACCGGCAUUCCUGUGCGUACCGUCAACAAGUUCAGAGCUAAAGUGCCUUCCGUGUUUACUGGAACUGAUCUGAUAUUAUGGAUAAUGAAGAAUGUGGAUGUUGAUGAUCAAGUUGAAGCAUUAUACUUUGCAAAUCUAUUGUCCUCUCAUGGUUACUUGUUCCCAAUUGAUGAUCAUUUUUUGAAUGUGAAGAAUGAUGGAUCUUAUUAUCGUUUUCAAACUCCUUAUUAUUGGCCAUCAAAUAUAUUUGACCCUGAAAAUACCGACUAUGCUGUAUACCUUUGCAAAAGAACAAUGCAAAACAAAACACGUUUAGAAUUGGCUGAUUAUGAAGCUGAAAACUUAGCAAAACUCCAAAAAGUUUUAUCUCGAAAAUGGGAAUUUGUAUUCUUACAAGCAGAGGCUCAAAGUAAAGUAGACAAGAAACGAGACCGCAUGGAAAGAAAAAUAUUAGAUAGUCAAGAACGUGCAUUUUGGGACGUACAUAGACCAAUGCCUGGUACUAUUAUAACAACAGAAAUUGACUACAGGAAAUUAAAGAGGUAUAAAGAAUUAGCUACUCUAGCUAAUGGAGACAUUGCUAAUUUACUACUACCUAUUCAGCUCCCAAUAAAAACUAACAUUGGUAAACCUACUAUUGAAUCUAUAAAAAAAGAUAUAACUGCAAUGCGACUAAAGCUUGAUCGUCGUAAUAUAAAACUAUCAAAAAUUGCAGACACAUACAUUACUUAUUUUGAACAGUAUGCAGAAUAUGAUCCAUUUUUUACACCUCCAGAAUUUAGCAACCCUUGGUUAUUAGAUAAUGUUGAAGUAUGGGAUUGUGACAAACAUUCUUCUAUGUUUUCAUACAGGAAAGAAGUUACAGUGCGUCGAAUAAAACGAUGGGCAUUUAGUUUAAAGGAGCUUCUAGCUGAUCCCGCAGGAAAAGAACAUUUUACAAAAUUCCUGGAAAAAGAAUUUAGUUGUGAAAAUUUAAAAUUUUGGGAAGCAGUACAAAAUCUUAAGAAAUUGCCACAACGUGAAGUACCUGAAGCUGCCGAAGAAAUCUGGACAGAGUAUUUAAGUGGUGAUUCAUUAAACAUUGACUCUCAGUCGAGAGAAUUAAGCCGAAAGAACAUGUCCGCUCCUGAUAGAUGGGCAUUUGAUAUUGCUGCCGUAUGUAAUCGCACAUUUUCAUUAUGUUCAUGUUUACCAUUUAAUGAAGAGUGACAGCUACCAGAGGUAUAUAAGAUCAGAAAUGUAUAAAGAAUAUUUAAAUACUUCCAAGAAAAAGACUUCCAUGAAAGGCAUUAGGUCUAUAGUAUCAUUUUCUGGAAAAAGAGAUAUUUGCCCAUCGUGAUGGUAUGCAUACUUACAUUAUUCAAAGUACCUUUUCAAUACAGUUCAAAUAUUUGAAAUAUUAUUUACUUUUUUUAUACAUAAAUUAUAAGCAAUUCAUUUUAAUUUUUAUAAUUUAGACGGUUAAGUUAUUAUUUUUUAUAUAAUAUGUAUUAUUUCAUAUUUGUAGGCAUUUGCAACUUUUUGGUUCUAUAAUUACAAAUUAUUAUAAACAAUUAUUGUUGUGAAAUUGUUAACUAUUAAGUCAUUAUUGUAUGUUUGAGGCAAUUUAUGUUCCUAUAAAAUUGGUGACAUUUUUUAUACAUAUAUUUUUGUUGUACAACUGUUUCAAAUUUUAAUAAAUAUUAUAUAUUUAUUGUUUUUAAUUGUAUACAUGUUUGUUUAAAUUUUCUUUUACUAUGAAAUUUGUGUAGUUACUUAUGAUAUUGUUAUUGAUUAGUCAAAUUUAAAUUAUUAUUAAUGUGUUGAAUUGUAUAAAUUUUAGAUCUACUUAUACCUCGGUAAUUAAGCAGAAGUCCAUUAAACGUUAAACAUGUUAUUAUUAUGCAUUAUGUUAAAUUUGUUGAAAAUAACUAUGUUUACGUCAUUAUUUUUGACUGUAAUUAAUAAGUGUUUAUUAUAACCGCAGGAUCAAUAACAUAAAUAAUACCAAAUAACAGUUCAACAUUUUGAAAACUAUUAAGAUUAACACAAUAAAAUGGUCAUCUAUGUAGUAUAAUACAUAAUGAACAGUGCCGGACAAGCUGCCGGUGCAAACUGUGCAUUGUACUGGGGCCCCCAAAAUUAUGGAAAUCGAUACAUCAUAAUUCAUAAAUGGCAUGAACAUAAUAACAUAGUACCUUGUGGAGAUGACUUAAAUAUUGUUUUAGAAUUAUAAUAGUAUAAAGAAUUGUUUGGGCAACUAAAUGUUUAUUUUAAAUUGUAUACAUUGUAACUAAUAAUUAAUUUGUUUUUUAAUUAAAAUAAGUAAGUACCUUAA
This 2966-nucleotide unclassified non-coding RNA is filed under the name Acyrthosiphon pisum (pea aphid). Its description in RNAcentral is "regulator of G-protein signaling 7, transcript variant X3". The record is from RNAcentral. Lineage: Eukaryota; Metazoa; Arthropoda; Insecta; Hemiptera; Aphididae.